This 253-nucleotide ribosomal RNA is filed under the name uncultured bacterium. RNAcentral describes it as "partial 16S ribosomal RNA". It matches the Rfam family "Bacterial small subunit ribosomal RNA", at positions 524 to 776 of the family's 1533-position model. The record is from RNAcentral.
UACGAAGGACCCGAGCGUUAUCCGGAUGUAUUGGGUUUAAAGGGGGCGUAGGCGGGCUUUCAAGUCAGUGGUGAAAGCCCAUCGCUCAACGAUGGAAUUGCCAUUGAAACUGUUGGUCUUGAGUACGGUUGAAGUGGGCGGAAUGUGUCAUGUAGCGGUGAAAUGCUUAGAUAUGACACAGAACACCUAUUGCGAAGGCAGCUCGCUAAGCCGUAACUGACGCUGAGGCACGAAAGUGUGGGUAGCAAACAGG